This 477-nucleotide ribosomal RNA is filed under the name Enterobacter sp. RNAcentral's name for it is "bacterial SSU rRNA". It matches the Rfam family "Bacterial small subunit ribosomal RNA", at positions 56 to 525 of the family's 1533-position model. The record is from RNAcentral. Lineage: Bacteria; Pseudomonadati; Pseudomonadota; Gammaproteobacteria; Enterobacterales; Enterobacteriaceae.
UGCAGUCGAGCGGUAGCACAGGGAGCUUGCUCCUGGGUGACGAGCGGCGGACGGGUGAGUAAUGUCUGGGAAACUGCCUGAUGGAGGGGGAUAACUACUGGAAACGGUAGCUAAUACCGCAUAACGUCGCAAGACCAAAGAGGGGGACCUUCGGGCCUCUUGCCAUCAGAUGUGCCCAGAUGGGAUUAGCUAGUAGGUGGGGUAACGGCUCACCUAGGCGACGAUCCCUAGCUGGUCUGAGAGGAUGACCAGCCACACUGGAACUGAGACACGGUCCAGACUCCUACGGGAGGCAGCAGUGGGGAAUAUUGCACAAUGGGCGCAAGCCUGAUGCAGCCAUGCCGCGUGUAUGAAGAAGGCCUUCGGGUUGUAAAGUACUUUCAGCGAGGAGGAAGGCGUCGUACUUAAUACGUGCGGCGAUUGACGUUACUCGCAGAAGAAGCACCGGCUAACUCCGUGCCAGCAGCCGCGGUAAUA